This 1440-nucleotide ribosomal RNA is filed under the name metagenome. Its description in RNAcentral is "bacterial LSU rRNA". It matches the Rfam family "Bacterial large subunit ribosomal RNA", at positions 1505 to 2912 of the family's 2925-position model. The record is from RNAcentral.
AGCACGUUCUUAGCAGCGAGGCCUGGGUGUAGGGAAAACCGCAUCCGAUUAAGGUUAGCGGCUAGGAGGAGUGUCCGUAAGGAUGCGAAGGUAGUGAUCCUACACUGCCGAGAAAAACCUCGUCAGGGAGACAUAGUUAGUGUCCGUACCCGAAACCGACACAGGUGGACUGGUAGACAAACUACCGAGGCGCGCGAGAGAACCCUCGCUAAGGAACUCGGCAAACUGACCCCGUAACCUCGGGAGAAGGGGUGCCUGCGAUAGGUGAAUCAAGAGAUUGAUGAGCCGAGGCAGGCCGCAGAGGAUAGGUCCUGGCGACUGUUUACCAAAAACACAGGUCUCUGCGAAGGCGGAAGCCGAAGUAUAGGGGCUGAGGCCUGGCCAGUGCUGGAAGGUUAAGGUGAGGGGUUAGCCCAGGAAUGGGCGAAGCUCCGAGCUGAAGCCCCAGUAAACGCCGGCCGUAACAAUAACGGUCCUAGGUAGCGAAAUUCCUUGUCGGGUAAGUUCCGACCCGCAUGAAAGGUGUGACGACUGGGACGCUGUCUCAGCGAGGGACUCGGUGAAAUUACAAUGGGGGUGAAGAUGCCCUCUACCCGCGGCAGGACGGGAAGACCCCAUGGAGCUUUACUGUAGCCUGAUAUUGGGUUUUGGCAUGUGCUGCGCAGGAUAGGUGGGAGGCUGAGAAGGUACCCUUUCGGGGGUACUGGAGCCGACGGUGAGAUACCACCCUGCACGUGUUGGAACUCUAACAUGGAGCCGUGAAGCCGGCACAUGGACAGUGUCAGGUAGGCAGUUUGACUGGGGCGGUCACCUCCCAAAAGGUAACGGAGGCGUCCAAAGGUACCCUCAGGCGGAAUGGAAACCCGCUGAAGAGUGCAAAGGCAUAAGGGUGCUUGACUGCGAGAGGGACACCUCGAGCAGAGUGGAAACACGGGCUUAGUGACCCGGUGGUGCUGAGUGGAAAGCCCACCGAUCAACGGAUAAAAGUUACCCUGGGGAUAACAGGCUAAUGGGUCCCGAGAGUCCAUAUCGACGGAUCCGUUUGGCACCUCGAUGUCGACCCGUCUCAUCCUGGGGCUGAAGCAGGUCCCAAGGGUUGGGCUGUUCGCCCAUUAAAGAGGCACGCGAGUUGGGUUCAGAGCGUCGUGAGACAGCUCGGUCCUUAUCCGCCGCGGGCGCAGGAGUUCUGAGGGGAGCUCUUCCUAGUACGAGAGGACCGGAAGGGACCAGGCACUGGUGUACCAGUUGUACCGCCAGGUGCAGAGCUGGGUAGCCACCCUGGGAGGAAUAAGCGCUGAAAGCAUCUAAGCGCGAAGUCCAUCCCAAGAUAAUAACUCCCACAGAGAUGAUCUGGUAAGGGCCCGGGAAGACUACCCGGUAGAUAGGCUGGAAGUGGAAGCCCAGUAAUGGGUGUAGCUGACCAGUACUAAUAGCCCGAGG